This 460-nucleotide ribosomal RNA is filed under the name uncultured bacterium. Its description in RNAcentral is "partial 16S ribosomal RNA". It matches the Rfam family "Bacterial small subunit ribosomal RNA", at positions 338 to 795 of the family's 1533-position model. The record is from RNAcentral.
CCUACGGGAGGCAGCAGUGAGGAAUAUUGGUCAAUGGACGAGAGUCUGAACCAGCCAAGUAGCGUGAAGGAUGACUGCCCUAUGGGUUGUAAACUUCUUUUAUAAAGGAAUAAAACGAGGCACGUGUGCCUUUUUGCAUGUACUUUAUGAAUAAGGAUAGGCUAACUCCGUGCCAGCAGCCGCGGUAAUACGGAGGAUCCGAGCGUUAUCCGGAUUUAUUGGGUUUAAAGGGAGCGUAGAUGGGUUGUUAAGUCAGUUGUGAAAGUUUGCGGCUCAACCGGAAAAUUGCAAGUGAUACUGGAAGUCUUGAGUACGGUUGAGGUAGGCGGAAUUCGUGGUGUAGCGGUGAAAUGCUUAGAUAUCACGAAGAACCCCGAUUGCGAAGGCAGCUUACUAAACUGUGACUGACAUUGAUGCUCGAAAGUGUGGGUAUCAAACAGGAUUAGAUACCCGAGUAGUC